RNAcentral lists this ribosomal RNA (497 nucleotides) under uncultured bacterium. RNAcentral describes it as "partial 16S ribosomal RNA". It matches the Rfam family "Bacterial small subunit ribosomal RNA", at positions 28 to 507 of the family's 1533-position model. The record is from RNAcentral.
GACGAACGCUGGCGGCGUGCCUAAUACAUGCAAGUUGAGCGCUGAAGGUUGGUACUUGUACCAACUGGAUGAGCAGCGAACGGGUGAGUAACGCGUGGGGAAUCUGCCUUUGAGCGGGGGACAACAUUUGGAAACGAAUGCUAAUACCGCAUAAAAACUUUAAACACAAGUUUUAAGUUUGAAAGAUGCUAUUGCAUCACUCAAAGAUGAUCCCGCGUUGUAUUAGCUAGUUGGUGAGGUAAAGGCUCACCAAGGCGAUGAUACAUAGCCGACCUGAGAGGGUGAUCGGCCACAUUGGGACUGGGACACGGCCCAAACUCCUACGGGAGGCAGCAGUAGGGAAUCUUCGGCAAUGGACGAAAGUCUGACCGAGCAACGCCGCGGGAGUGAAGAAGGUUUUCGGAUCGUAAAACUCUGUUGGUAGAGAAGAACGUUGGUGAGAGUGGAAAGCUCAUCAAGUGACGGUAACUACCCAGAAAGGGACGGCUAACUACGUG